This 253-nucleotide ribosomal RNA is filed under the name uncultured bacterium. RNAcentral's name for it is "partial 16S ribosomal RNA". It matches the Rfam family "Bacterial small subunit ribosomal RNA", at positions 524 to 776 of the family's 1533-position model. The record is from RNAcentral.
UACGGGGGGAGCAAGCGUUGUUCGGAUUUACUGGGCGUAAAGGGCGCGUAGGCGGUAGCACAAGUCAGUUGUGAAAUCUCCGGGCUUAACUCGGAAAGGUCAACUGAUACUGUGCGACUAGAGUGCAGAAGGGGCAACUGGAAUUCUCGGUGUAGCGGUGAAAUGCGUAGAUAUCGAGAGGAACACCUGCGGCGAAGGCGGUUCUCUGGGACGGUACUGACGCUGAGACGCGAAAGCGUGGGGAGCGAACAGG